GGACAACAUGGAUCCGUCGGUGGGAGGACCCGGAGUAGACGACAGAAACGGUCAGUCGUCUGCUCCACAUUCCUCUGAUAUUCCUGAACAGAUUAUAUCAGACAUGGAUUCUUCGACGGACGCUGACAAAUAUGAUACGAAUGACAAUGGCGCACAAUCAGCCGCGGCUAGGGUGGGACAGAGCGAAAGUAGCUGUGUCAACCCGGAAGCGAAACUUUUCGGAUGGUUGCAAAUCCUCACACGUGGUAUAAUCAAAACAAACAGACAACGUUUCUGCGUGUUCGGAGAUAGCACGUGCAAGCUAUAUAUUUACCGUAAUCAGCAUGAUUUUCUACCUUUGGAUGAAAUUGAUAUAUCCAGGGCUUCUUUUCAUUUUAACGCUGGAAAUACUGGAAAGCCCGGGAGUUUUGAAAUCAGGUCUGGAGGGAAGGAGCACCUCCUGGAUGCCUCUGACAGGCACUCGAUGAUGUACUGGCUACAGGAACUGCAGAAACGGCGCAGACUUUAUAACAUGGCAAGAAAUUCCCUGUCGCGCGACAGACUGGGCCAGUGGAACGUCAGGAGAACGCAGGGCAACAUUAGUGGGCUGGUUUCCAGGAAGGAUGAUAUCAACAUGGAGGUAGAGAUUGGACAGAGUGAUUUCCCUUUCAUCAAAGCACCGGCGAGUCUGCUGCUCGGACCACCGGAGGAUAACACCAUUCCCAGAAAACAGUCUGAGAGCUCCUCCCCGUCCCCUAGCCAAGAAGAACUAGUGACUCCCGAUGGAUCUACUCCUGCCCUCAGACAUGCUCACAUAUCCGCCGUCAAACCGGGGGGUAAAGUUGGCAAAUUCAAGACAGCAUUUGGGAAAGUGUUGAGUAGGAAGUCUGUGAUAAGUGACGAGGAAACAGCACCCAGCAUCUGUAACAGGUGUAAACUGCUCCAGAAACAGCUGAGCAACGCCCAGCAGGACCAGCAGGCUACGGAGGAGGAGUUACAGGCAAAUAGGGAGAUUGUCCGUCUGCUGCAGAAAGAGUUGGAUUCCAUCACCAAGGAAAUGGAAACAAGAUUCCAGAUGAGUACACAAGAUAGAGAGGGGUUCCAGGGAAUGCUGAAGGAACGAGACAAACACAUUAUAGAACUCAAGUUUGGUCUGUCCUCCAUGAAGGAAGAGAAGGAGUUAUUAGCUCAACAACUCAGGGCAAAAACAGGAAACUUAUGCAGCAUCCAGGACCAAUUAAAGAUGUUCGAAGAUAUGCUAGCUGCCAAAGACGAGACUAUCAUCAAACUUACGAACAACCUUUCUGAAGCUGAGAAAAAGGUGGCCGACGGAAAGGCCAAUGGUUUUGUAGACGUCUCUGAAGCAACGACAGUACCACCAUUAGAUUCACUCAUAUCCAACUCCACACCAGGACCUGUAUCAGACACAAGGGAAAUACAGAGACUCAAGGACAUGUGUGCUGCAUACGAAACCCAGAACAAGUUCCUUACCAACGAGAUACUGGAGCUGAAUGAUCUACGACAGCACGAUGAAGACAACGGCAAGACUCUGAUGAUGAGCUAUGCACAGCUGGAGGCAAAGUUUUAUCAAACCCACAGCAAAUAUCUUAUUCUUCUGAAGGAGUUCAAACAGCCUGUCAGAGGUGGACAGGAUGAGGUCCAGUCCCAGGAGAUGGUCACUCAACUCCUCUCAGACGCACUGGACCUGGACGAAAAUGAAGACAUGGAAUAUAAUCUGUUCACCUCCAGUGGACAGGAGCAUGACCGGUAUGGCUUCCUGAAGAAGUAUGGUGGGGAUGAAGAUGAUGAUCCCCUUAUCGCCAAGGCUACAAAACUAGAGAGGAAGUCUGAGGAGCUGUCCACCAAGAUCAAGGAAGCAGAUGAGGUCCAGUCACAUUUGGUCAAGUGGGACAACUUUAUGGUAGGCCAGACAGGAAAACCCCUUGUCAGGUCGGCCGAACUGAAGGGACUGGUACGCAUGGGGGUUCCUCAUGAGCACAGAAGUCACAUAUGGAAAGGGUGUGUGAACUUUUAUGUGAAUGACAACAGAGAUAAGUUGGGUCCACACUACUACAAGGGUCUGAUCUCACGGUCAAGUAAUACCACCCAUCACGAUCCUGCUGCCAAACAGAUAGAACUGGACUUGUUAAGAACCCUGCCGAACAACAAGUAUUACGAGAGUUCAGAUUCGGAUGGUGUAGCCAAGCUGCGACGUAUAUUAGUGGCCUACAGCCUUCAUAACCCAGUCAUUGGAUACUGUCAGGGUCUGAACAGACUGGCGGCCAUUGGUUUGCUGUUCCUAGAGGAGGAGGAAGCUUUCUGGUUAUUAGUGGCCAUUGUAGAACACAUCAUGCCAAAGGAUUAUUACAGCAGAACUCUGAUAGCGGCUCAAGCUGACCAGAGAGUUCUGAAGGACAUGGUCCAGGAUAAGUUGCCUCGUCUGUAUGCCCACUUCGAGUCCCACGAUGUCGACCUGUCACUCUUCACCUUCAACUGGUUCCUCACCAUCUUUGUAGACAACAUCCCAGUGGAGACAUUUCUCAGGGUGUGGGACGCUUACCUGUACGAGGGAAGUAAGAUGCUGUUUCGUUUUGCUGUGGCCUUUUUCAAAAUGGCAGAGGAGGAUAUUUUACAACAGGAUAGUACACUGGCAGUCAACCACUAUAUGAGAGUUAUAGGAGAGAAGAUGGUUAAUGUUCGUAAGAUUUCACAGUUCGCCUUUAACUGGAUCAACCCUUUCCCAAUGAAGAAUAUCGCCACCAAACGGCAGUUCUACCUCCAACAGCUCAGGGGUGAACUUGCGGAGCUGGAUCGCCUAAGAGAAGACAUUAGGAGCCAACGUACCACAUCUGAAUACAGAGAAUUCUUCAGUGAUGAUGAGUUAUAGCACUCUCCUUGUGCAAUGGCAAAUGUUUGUAGAGUGUUACUUCUCUAAUACGACCUCUGAGUGUUCUGUCCAAUCCAACAUAAUUCUAUAUUCACAUGUCACAUCAAAACUACCAAAUAUGACAUGUGUGUUCAACUCAGUAUCUGACUCUCUGUUUGAAGCAAGCUGGAUUCCAGUUAGACAUUCAAGAAUAUCAACCUCGCAUUGAGAUUUCUCUGUUAUUCUUCCCAUCAGGGAUGUCUGACAAUGUCCAGGAUUUACUACACCAUAGUAAGCUCAAAUGAACAAGUAAAUACAGCUUGACUGUUGGAUGUUUCAGUUGAGAAACUAUGUUGGCAAUGCCCUGAGUAUGAGAGAUUCAACACAAGAUUUAAUAGCAUUUGGAGGUUGCUCCUUCAAUAUGCUGCUGUUAAUGGCUGUUCAAUGAUGACCCCACCCUGUUGUUAUUAUGUCAAAGACAUGAUGCCAUUUUUUAUGGAUAAUAAUAGUGAUAUGUCAGUUUCCCUGCUUGGAACUUCGUGCUAAUUUUUCCCUUGUUUGGCACAAAGUGCCUGUAAAUGUAUGCAAUGGUACACCAUCUGUCUCUCGUCCAGGCUAUAUUUUUCCUUUAUACACACAACUUGAGGAUCCCUGAUGUAAUGAAACAUUAUAUCUGAUCAGUAUUGCUUGCUGGGAUGAGUUAAGGACUAUCAACUUAGUUCAACUAAAUGAUCUUGACCCAAUAUCAAGGUCACUGGGGCCAGAUAUGUUUAAAACUUCAAACAGCUUCAAAAAUAUCCAUGGCCUUGGUCUGUAGUUUGAAGGGCUAUCAAAUUUGUUCAAAUAAAUAUGACCUUUAACCACUUUGAAGGUCACAGAUGUAAAAUGUGAUUUGCAACAAGAUUCAAUAACAGGUGAGUGAUAUAUCAGGCCCAGUGGGCCUCUUGUUAAAAUGAUAAAUGCAAUGUAAAUGAACAUUAUAUUGAUAUGUGCAAUACUAUUGUAUAAACUUGUCUUGUAGCAUUUUAGAUUCGAAGCAUUCCAUUUUGAACAUAAUAUGUACUAAAUUAUGUAUUACAUUGAUUCUCAUUUUGUUGUUAGUACACAAAGGAGCCUGUAACAAUGGUUUGUACAAAAUUUAUUAAUUAUUUUAUAAGAUUUUUAAUCUACCAUAUUUUCUAACAAAUGUGUUUACAACGCAGCCUUAAUAAUCCAGCCUCCUUCAUUUCCAGCAUAAGCUUAAAGGGCUAGUAUGUCCCCUAAAACACUUAGUGGAUUAAGUAGGUUUGCCUGUAGUCUACAUAUGGCUAAUGACUUGAAGGAAUUUAUUCAGCUGAAAUCGGAUUUUAUAUAUUGAUAUAUGAUAGAGAAACUGGAUGAAGUCUAUUAGAGUUCUAUUAUAGCCAUGGAGUUUUGUAAGUUAAGUUUUUUCUGAUCCAAUAGACUGUUCUGGUGUUCAUCUCAAUUUCAGUACUUGAAUGACUGUGUUGGAGAAUGCUAGCAGUCUUAGGACUAUUUCCCACCAUACUGAUUUAAUUUGUGUAUUUUGACAAACGUCCAUAUUUACUUUCAUCAUACCAUUUCUAUGUACAUUUCUUUAAAAGAUUCUAUCUUAUAUCUUAUUCUUUAUAAUUUAUCUAUGGCAUAUGCAAAUUUUUCACAUACAUUACCAGUCAUUAUAGAGAUAUUUUUCUUGAUUGUAGUGCUAUUAUUAUUAUUAUUAAAUUCCCCACCAAAUCAAUGUAUGUAAAGCCUAUUUAUAUUAGAAACAUGAUGUAAUCGAUUAUGUCAACAAGUAUGUGAAAAAAAUUGAAGUUGUUUUUAGCUCACCUGGCCCUAAGGGCCAAGUGAGCUUAUGGCAUACCGUAGCAUCCGUCGUCUGUCAACUUUUUACAUUUUAAUCUUCUUCAAAACUACUGGGCCAAUUUUGACCAAACUUGACAUGAAACAUUACUAGGACAUGGGGAUCUGAAUUCAUGAAAUUUAUGGGGCUACGCCCCCAGGAGCCUGAGGGGCAGGGCCAAAUAGGUAAAAAAAAUGGAGUCAUCUUUGAAAAUCAUCUUCUCUACUCCUACAAGUUAUAGAGAGUAAUGGCACAUUUAAUUAUAAUCAUCAACUAGCCCUCUUUUGAAUUUAUGAAAUUUAUGGCCCAGGGGUCAAGGAGUCAAGAGGUAGGGCGGGGUCAAUAUUGUGUACUUGUUAUGUAAUUAUGUAUUUAUACAUUUAAUUUUUAUUCUUCAAAAACUACAGGGCCAAUUUUGACCAAAUUCGACUUGGAAGAUCACUAGGACAUGGGGAUCUAACUUAAUAAAAUGUAUGGGGCUGCACCACCAGGGGCCUGAGGGGUGGGGCCAAAUAGGUAAAAAAUGGAAUAAUCUUUAAAAAUCUUCUUCUCUACUCCUUCAAGUAACAGAGAGUAAUGGCACAUCAUAAUCAUCAACUGGCUCUCUUUUGAAUUUAUGAAAUUUAUGGCUCUUGGGUCAAGGGGUCAAGUGGUAUGGUGGGGUCAAUAUUGUAUGUUAUGGAUCUUUAAAACAGUUGAGAUCCCCACCCCAUUACCAUAUAUAGUAUUGCUGGGCAUCAAGAGAUAAACACAAUUAUGAUGUAAAAAUAGGCCCUGGGGUCUUUCUCCAUCCGUAGGAACUUAGUUUCUGGGUUAUAUCUUUGAAACAGUCGCGAUCCCCACCCCAUAACAAUAAAUAGCAUUGCUGGGCAUCAAGAGAUAAACACAAUCAUAAUGUAAAAAUAGGCCCUGGGGUCUUUCCCCAUGCCUAGGGACUUAGUUUCUGGGUUAUAUCUUUGAAACUGUUGAGAUCCCCACCCGAUAACCAUAUAUAGCAUUGCUGGGCAUCAAGAGAUAAACACAAUCAUGAUGUAAAAAUAGGCCCUGGGGUCUUUCUCCACCGCUAGGGACUUAGUUUCUGGUUUAUAUCUUUGAAACAGUUGAGAUCCCCACCCCAUAACCAUAUAUACAAUUGCUGAGUAUAGAAAGACGAAUGCACAUAUGCUUCCAGGAAGGCCCUGGGGUCUACCCUACCCUUGGAGACUUAACCCUGAGUCAUAACUUCGAAAUGGUUAAUAUCCCCACCCCUAAACUAUAUAUAUAAAUGCUGGGCAUAAAGAGAUGAAUGUAGUUAUGAUAUGAGAAUGGACCCCAGGGUCUGCCCAACCCUUGCAGACUUAACCCCUGGGUCAUAACUUUGAAACGGUUGAGAUCCCCACCC
Molecule: unclassified non-coding RNA, 6069 nt
Filed under: Mizuhopecten yessoensis (Yesso scallop)
Lineage: Eukaryota; Metazoa; Mollusca; Bivalvia; Pectinida; Pectinidae
Description: tBC1 domain family member 2B-like, transcript variant X1
Source: RNAcentral